Acanthosepion pharaonis is the source of this 86-nucleotide non-coding RNA. The record is from the annotation of a GenBank genome assembly. Lineage: Eukaryota; Metazoa; Mollusca; Cephalopoda; Sepiida; Sepiidae.
AUCGGUUCCCAUAUGAUCACCAAAGUUAAGCAUUGUUGAGUCUGGUUAGUACUUGGAUGGAUGACUGCUUGAGAAUACUAGGUGCU